UACGAAGGGGGCUAGCGUUGCUCGGAAUCACUGGGCGUAAAGCGCACGUAGGCGGAUUGUUAAGUCAGGGGUGAAAUCCUGGAGCUCAACUCCAGAACUGCCUUUGAUACUGGCGAUCUUGAGUCCGGGAGGGGUGAGUGGAACUGCGAGUGUAGAGGUGAAAUUCGUAGAUAUUCGCAAGAACACCAGUGGCGAAGGCGGCUCACUGGCCCGGUACUGACGCUGAGGUGCGAAAGCGUGGGGAGCAAACAGG
Molecule: ribosomal RNA, 253 nt
Filed under: uncultured bacterium
Lineage: Bacteria
Description: partial 16S ribosomal RNA
Rfam family: Bacterial small subunit ribosomal RNA
Source: RNAcentral